This 386-nucleotide RNase P RNA is filed under the name Lachnospiraceae bacterium. RNAcentral's name for it is "RNase P RNA component class A". It matches the Rfam family "Bacterial RNase P class A". Rfam says of the family: Ribonuclease P (RNase P) is a ubiquitous endoribonuclease, found in archaea, bacteria and eukarya as well as chloroplasts and mitochondria. Its best characterised activity is the generation of mature 5'-ends of tRNAs by cleaving the 5'-leader elements of precursor-tRNAs. Cellular RNase Ps are ribonucleoproteins. Lineage: Bacteria; Bacillati; Bacillota; Clostridia; Lachnospirales; Lachnospiraceae. The record is from RNAcentral.
UGAGUAGGACAGACAAUCGCAGCUGCUAUUGCCGAAAGGACGCAGGUGAGGAAAGUCCGGGCUUCACAGGGCAGGAUGCCGGAUAACGUCCGGUGGAGGUGACUCUAAGGAUAGUGCAACAGAAAUAUACCGCCAGCACUCAGUUGAGUGAUUGAAUGCUGUAUGUAUGCUGUAUUCAAUCUGGUAAGGGUGGAAAGGCAGUGUAAGAGACUACCGCCCAUAUGGUAACAUAUGGGGCACAUGUAAACCCCAUCCGAAGCAAGACCGAACAGAAAGCAUAUGGCUGCCCGUCAGCUUUCGGGUAGGUCGCUUGACUUUACCGGCAACGGUAAAGCUAGAUAGAUGAUUGUCAAACACAUAACCCGGCUUAUAGUUUUGCUCAACAU